GACGAACGCNGGCGGCGUGCUUAACACAUGCAAGUCGAACGAAGAGCGACGGAAGCUUGCUUCUAUCAAUCUUAGUGGCGAACGGGUGAGUAACGCGUAAUCAACCUGCCCUUCAGAGGGGGACAACAGUUGGAAACGACUGCUAAUACCGCAUACGAUCUAAUCUCGGCAUCGAGGAUGGAUGAAAGGUGGCCUCUACAUGUAAGCUAUCACUGAAGGAGGGGAUUGCGUCUGAUUAGCUAGUUGGAGGGGUAACGGCCCACCAAGGCGAUGAUCAGUAGCCGGUCUGAGAGGAUGAACGGCCACAUUGGGACUGAGACACGGCCCAGACUCCUACGGGAGGCAGCAGUGGGGAAUCUUCCGCAAUGGACGAAAGUCUGACGGAGCAACGCCGCGUGAGUGAUGACGGCCUUCGGGUUGUA
This 422-nucleotide ribosomal RNA is filed under the name uncultured bacterium. RNAcentral's name for it is "bacterial SSU rRNA". It matches the Rfam family "Bacterial small subunit ribosomal RNA", at positions 28 to 427 of the family's 1533-position model. The record is from RNAcentral.